GGGACUGUAAAGGUUUCGACGGGGAUUAUGAGAUAUAAUAAGCGUAGCGGGCUGGCUAAUCCCGUAUAAUGGCCAACUUAAAUAAUAAACGACAACAAUAAAGUUGCUAUGGCUGCCUAAUUGAUUCUCCCUUGGGAGUUUCAAUUAGCAGUGCUGCGGUCAAUGCACCGCCCGUUCCUCUUAGGAGUACCUCGACCUAAGACUGAGCGUAACACCAGAGGUGAACUUGAAUUGAGAGUUUUGUCUGUAUCAAUCAAGCAUUAAGACAAUACCCGAAUAAAAGAUUGUUAAUCAUCGUUUUGUAGGGGAAUUUCAAAGGAUUAACUGACUACGGAGAAGGUUAUAUCAAGUGGUUUUCGGACGCGAGUUCGACUCUCGCCAGUUCCACCA
This 390-nucleotide transfer-messenger RNA is filed under the name Eubacteriales. RNAcentral's name for it is "RGIG2000 sp017625915 Standard tmRNA". It matches the Rfam family "transfer-messenger RNA". From Rfam's summary of the family: Bacterial tmRNA, also known as 10Sa RNA or SsrA, is named for its dual tRNA and mRNA-like properties. Its role is to liberate the mRNA from a stalled ribosome. To accomplish this part of the tmRNA is used as a reading frame that ends in a translation stop signal. The record is from RNAcentral. RNAcentral also lists the same sequence under 1 other name. Lineage: Bacteria; Bacillati; Bacillota; Clostridia.